UACAGAGGGGGCAAGCGUUAUUCGGAAUUAUUGGGCGUAAAGGGCGCGUAGGCGGCUUGGCAAGUGGAUGGUGAAAUCCCUCGGCUUAACCGAGGAACUGCCGUCCAAACUGCUUCGCUUGAGACCGGGAGAGGUGAGUGGAAUUCCCAGUGUAGCGGUGAAAUGCGUAGAUAUUGGGAGGAACACCAGUGGCGAAGGCGGCUCACUGGACCGGUACUGACGCUGAAGCGCGAAAGCGUGGGGAGCAAACAGG
This 253-nucleotide ribosomal RNA is filed under the name uncultured bacterium. RNAcentral describes it as "partial 16S ribosomal RNA". It matches the Rfam family "Bacterial small subunit ribosomal RNA", at positions 524 to 776 of the family's 1533-position model. The record is from RNAcentral.